UCGAGGAUCUUCGGCAAUGGGCGCAAGCCUGACCGAGCGACGCCGCGUGUGCGAUGAAGGCCUUCGGGUUGUAAAGCACUGUCGAGGGGAAGAAAGCCGCAAGGUUGAUCGACCCCUGGAGGAAGCACGGGCUAAGUUCGUGCCAGCAGCCGCGGUAAGACGAACCGUGCGAACGUUGUUCGGAUUCACUGGGCUUAAAGGGCGCGUAGGCGGGUCAUCAAGUCUGGGGUGAAAUCCUUCGGCUCAACCGGAGAAGUGCCCCCGAUACUGAUGGUCUGGAGGGAGGUAGGGGUGUGUGGAACUUCCGGUGGAGCGGUGAAAUGCGUAGAUAUCGGAAGGAACGCCGGUGGCGAAAGCGACGCACUGGACCUCUUCUGACGCUGAGGCGCGAAAGCCAGGGGAGCAAACGGGAUUAGAUACCCCCGUAGUCC
This 431-nucleotide ribosomal RNA is filed under the name uncultured bacterium. Its description in RNAcentral is "bacterial SSU rRNA". It matches the Rfam family "Bacterial small subunit ribosomal RNA", at positions 355 to 796 of the family's 1533-position model. The record is from RNAcentral.